UGGGGACUGUGGGGACUCACAAGAAGCCUGGAAGUGCCGGAUCCGAGCCAUGCAGGAAGGACUGGGAGAAUGCCUGUUGUUAAUUGUCACCACUGAAGUACCCAGCUCCGGGGAAGUAAUCAAUAAGUAUUUGUUGACUGACUGGCUAAAUCAAUGAAAAUGUGUAAGCAGAGAGGUGCAUUAUCAGGCCACUGGAUCAGAAGCAGAGCAACCGAGACUUGAACUGGUGACAGCACGAUACCGGUGUUGCAGGAGGUGGCUUGACUUACUGCAUCACAACAAUGGCCCUGGCCGAGGCCUUGUGCAGGACACAGUCCUCCCAUGCCUGGACACCCACCACCUCCACAGAUACCCGAGUGACUACUGAAAGCAGCCCCAACUCUUGCCCUCAUGAAGCUGUCCCUAUAGGAGAGGUAUGUGUGAGCCAGCCAUGAAAGAAAACAAUAUGGUGGGUGUGAUUUAGGUGGGGGUGGAGGGUAGUGGUCAGGGCCAGCCUUGCAGAGGGCAUGGCUUCCAAGCUCAGAUCUGCAGGGUAAGCAGUGUUAAGUGUGGGCUAACAGCCACAAACAGAG
This is a long non-coding RNA of Ochotona princeps (American pika), 572 nucleotides long. RefSeq lists it as uncharacterized. NCBI's taxonomy places the organism in Eukaryota, Metazoa, Chordata, Mammalia, Lagomorpha, Ochotonidae. The transcript has 4 exons. The record is from RefSeq and is a predicted model, not a curated record.